GACGAACGCUGGCGGCGUGCCUAAUACAUGCAAGUAGAACGCUGAAGAGAGGAGCUUGCUCUUCUUGGAUGAGUUGCGAACGGGUGAGUAACACGUGGGUAACCUACCUAUAAGACUGGAAUAACUCCGGGAAACCGGGGCUAAUGCCGGAUAACAUAUAGAACCGCAUGGUUCUAUAGUGAAAGAUGGUUUUGCUAUCACUUAUAGAUGGACCCGCGCCGUAUUAGCUAGUUGGUAAGGUAAUGGAUUACCAAGGCGACGAUACGUAGCCGACCUGAGAGGGUGAUCGGCCACACUGGAACUGAGACACGGUCCAGACUCCUACGGGAGGCAGCAGUAGGGAAUCUUCCGCAAUGGGCGAAAGCCUGACGGAGCAACGCCGCGUGAGUGAUGAAGGGUUUCGGCUCGUAAAACUCUGUUAUUAGGGAAGAACAUAUGUGUAAGUAACUGUGCACAUCUUGACGGUACCUAAUCAGAAAGCCACGGCUAACUACGUGCCAGCCGCCGCCGUAA
RNAcentral lists this ribosomal RNA (513 nucleotides) under uncultured bacterium. RNAcentral describes it as "partial 16S ribosomal RNA". It matches the Rfam family "Bacterial small subunit ribosomal RNA", at positions 28 to 523 of the family's 1533-position model. The record is from RNAcentral.